This 470-nucleotide ribosomal RNA is filed under the name uncultured bacterium. RNAcentral describes it as "bacterial SSU rRNA". It matches the Rfam family "Bacterial small subunit ribosomal RNA", at positions 32 to 514 of the family's 1533-position model. The record is from RNAcentral.
AAUCAACGCUGGCGGCGUGCCUCAGACAUGCAAGUCGAACGAUUAAAGCUCUCUUCGGAGAGUGUAUAGAGUGGCGCACGGGUGAGUAACACGUAAGUAAUCUACCUUUGAGUGGGGAAUAACCCGGGAACCCGAGCUAUACCGCAUAAUGCAGCGGCACCGCAAGGUGACAGUUGUUAAAGGAGCAAUCCGCUUAAAGAGGAGCUUGCGGCAGAUUAGCUAGNGGUAAGGUAAUGGCUUACCAAGGCUUCGAUCUGUAUCCGGCCUGAGAGGGCGGUCGGACACACUGACACUGAAUAACGGGUCAGACUCCUACGGGAGGCAGCAGUCGGGAAUUUUGGGCAAUGGGCGAAAGCCUGACCCAGCAACGCCGCGUGAAGGAUGAAGUAUUUCGGUAUGUAAACUUCGAAAGAAUGGGAAGAAUCAAUGACGGUACCAUUUAUAAGGUCCGGCUAACUACGUGCCAGCAG